CGGGCGCGGCGCCGGUCUAAGUUCGUUGGAACAAGGCAUCAUAGAGGGUGAGAAUCCCGUAUGUGACCGGCGAUCCAAGUCCAUGUGAAGCUCCUUCGACGAGUCGAGUUGUUUGGGAAUGCAGCUCAAAAUGGGUGGUAAAUUUCAUCUAAAGCUAAAUACCGGCCAGAGACCGAUAGCGCACAAGUAGAGUGAUCGAAAGAUGAAAAGCACUUUGGAAAGAGAGUUAAAAAGUACGUGAAAUUGUUGAAAGGGAAGCGCUUGCAACCAGACCUGCGCGCGGGCGAUCAGCCGUCCUUCUGGGCGGUGCACGCGCCCGCGAACAGGCCAGCAUCGGUUCUGGCGGCCGGAUAAAGACCCUGGGAAUGUAGCUCCGUUCGCGGAGUGUUAUAGCCCGAGGUGGCAUGCGGCCAGCGAGAAUCGAGGACCGCGCUUCGGCAAGGAUGCUGGCGUAAUGGUUGUAAGCGGCCCGUCUUGAAACACGGACCAAGGAGUGGAACAUCUAUGCGAGUGUUUGGGUGUCAAACCCAUGCGCGGAAUGAAAGUGAACGGAGGUGGGAACCCGCCCAGGGCGCACCAUCGACCGAUCCAGAUGUCAUCGGAUGGAUUUGAGUACGAGCAUAGCUGUUCCGACCCGAAAGAUGGUGAACUAUGCCUGAAUAGGGUGAAGCCAGAGGAAACUCUGGUGGAGGCUCGCAGCGGUUCUGACGUGCAAAUCGAUCGUCAAAUUUAGGUAUAGGGGCGAAAGACUAAUCGAACCAUC
This 763-nucleotide ribosomal RNA is filed under the name Sirenophila gallowayii. RNAcentral describes it as "LSU rRNA". It matches the Rfam family "Eukaryotic large subunit ribosomal RNA", at positions 165 to 944 of the family's 3401-position model. The record is from RNAcentral. Lineage: Eukaryota; Fungi; Ascomycota; Lecanoromycetes; Teloschistales; Teloschistaceae.